Molecule: long non-coding RNA, 1833 nt
Organism: Esox lucius (northern pike)
Lineage: Eukaryota; Metazoa; Chordata; Actinopteri; Esociformes; Esocidae
Source: Ensembl
AUCAGCCGUUGCGGUAUGCAAUCAAUUCCCUUACCUCAAAUUGUUUUUCUUCACACAAACCUUCCAAAAUUGAGGUAUUUUUACCUCCAGGUCAAACACCAUAUGCUCAUUGGACAGAUAUCUAUUUACAUAAGCAUGGUGUUGGCAGAGCAUGACAUUUACCCACAGUAUGUAAGCUCAUUUCAUUUCAAGACAUUCGACACCUGUGUGACUAAGCUUGUAGAUAUGGAUUUUUUUGUCUCAUAGAAAUAAGUAAUGGAUGUGUGUUUGGAGAAAGGAAGGAAGUAUGGAUUUAGCGUGUUGGUUUUGUGACGACGAUGACCGACUCGCAUCUGAGAGGCUAAGCUAUGGGCACUGUAGUAAAGGACAGCGAAAAGUAACCGUCUGAGGUAAACUUUGAAUGACUGGUUUGUUGAUGUGAGCAUCCCAGAAGUAGUGGUUAAUGCCUAGCACUUUCGUCUAAGUGACUCAUUAACAUUCACAGCAAAGUUCUCUCGCGCUUCCUCGUCUUUUCAACACGUAGGGGUGCAAAGGUCAAAGGACUAGGAAGAGAUGGCCAUUACGAAUCAUAAAGGAUUACCAGAUGAGCCUAGACACUUUACUGCUCCUCCUGAAGAUGUCUUCAAAGAUGUCCCAGUCAAUGCACCUUUUCAAAGCUGUUUAAGUUUUCGCUCUCCGUGAAAACUUGCUCACCUGUAGGAAGCAGUUCUUUCCUGGUUCCAGUUUUCUGAGGGUUGGAAGAACAUUCCAUCAGUUUCCCACCCAACAGACACAGAACGUUUGCCAUGUUCUACAUGAUAUUAAUGGGAAUGUCGCUGGAUAAUUUCUUUAUCGAUUCUCAGGAUAUUGCUUGAUGGUCCCAAAGAUAUAUUCUUCCCUCCCAAAAUUGCCACUUGUUUCGGUUUCUGAGCUAAUAACUCCCUGAUUUGUGAACUAAUGAUCCAUUCAUAGGUAUUUAGUCUGUUAGCAUGGUUGAAUCUUUUUUUUUUUUUUUACAUUGGACAUGAUUAUUUAAAUAGAAAUUAAUGUUCCACAUGUCCUUAGCUGGGAUUUAAACUCCCAAACUCUUAGUUCAGAGCUUCCCAUGACACCAUGGAAUCCCCUCCCAAGUGAUCAAGAUGUAAGUUUGCUCUAAUCAACAUGCAGAUUAAAAACAACUAUUUUAAAUGCUCGGCUAUAUACAUAUACAGUGCCUUGCUAAAUAUUCAGACCUCCGACUAAUUCUCUCCUCUUACUGACCUACAAAAUGGUACAUUGACAUUUCAUUCUGGUUUAAAGUUGAAUUUUAAACACUGAAAAUCAAAACAAGUUGUUGGAAAUAUUUGUAAGAAAAAUAAACACUGUUGUUGUUUGCCUUAGUAUUUACCCAAAUGCUGUGGAAUCUCCCAGUUUACAGAGAUGAAAGAAAUGGUGACAUCACUGCUGGAUUGGCCCUCCUCCUCCAAUCCAGUGUUCGGCAUCUCCCUCCUAUUAACAAUGGUUACAGUCACCAGGGAAGCGCGAGGUCCCAUGAGGGCAUGAACUGAGCAUUACGCACCUGUGUUUUAUUUGGGAAUCAGGGGGGUAUUUAGGAUGUAGGCUGACACCGGUGCGUUGUUGGUGAUUAUCUGUGUCUGUUAGAGGAAGGGCUUUGCAGUCUGCACCUGCACGCCGAGUUUACAGUAGGUUAUGUGUAUUCUGGUUUUGUUUUAUAGACUAGUUUUCAUGUUUCAGGCCCAGGGCUGUUGUUUUUUUGUUUCUCUGUUUUCUGGAUGUUGGAUUUAACUUCCCAUUGGUGUCUACCUGUGAACCAUUAAAGUUGCUGUCACAUUUUCUAGAUAAAAUUCUUUGGUG